This 323-nucleotide long non-coding RNA is filed under the name Apteryx owenii (little spotted kiwi). RNAcentral describes it as "lncRNA (ENSAOWG00000011345.1)". The record is from RNAcentral. Lineage: Eukaryota; Metazoa; Chordata; Aves; Apterygiformes; Apterygidae.
GAGAAGCUUCUUGUCACCUGAGCUCUGCUUCAUCUGACACUGACUUCUUAGGUGGCCCAGAAAAAUCCCUGAACUUUUUGCUUGAAUCUCAGCUGACAAAGUAGCUGGGUGAGCCUCUCUCAGCCGGUGCUGGCGUUCCCUGCUGCAUUCCCUGGCUUCCUCGAGAAGCAAUGGAAGAGCACAUGCUUUCCGAUUAUGUGGGAAGAUGUCUGAGGAGGAGCAAACCUGCGCGUCUGAGACUCUGAGGAUAGACUGAGGUACUUUGUGAUAAGUAGUGUACUCUAGGGAAAGCUUUUAAUAAAAUGAUUAAAUAUUGACUACCA